This is a long non-coding RNA of Rosa rugosa (rugosa rose), 1296 nucleotides long. RefSeq lists it as uncharacterized. Lineage: Eukaryota; Viridiplantae; Streptophyta; Magnoliopsida; Rosales; Rosaceae. The record is from RefSeq and is a predicted model, not a curated record. The transcript is spliced from 4 exons.
UAUCAGAUAUUCAGAUCAGUGUACUUAUUUUGUCUGAUACAUAGUAUUUGUGAAUUGUGAUUACCUGUUUCUCCACAAAUAUAGAAUUUACAAGAUUGUCCUGGAUGACAUCUCUCAUUAGUGUUGUUCAAACUCACUCGUGUAGAACUUCCCUUCUCAUAUGAAAAUGAAAUAGUGAUCAAGUAGAAACAGUAAAGACGUGUUCUCUUUGCGUCCAUUUCUGGAUGUUUAGUAUUUGCCUGAGUAGAACUACCUCCACGGCUCUACCUGAUCUGUGAAGGAAGAGGGUCUGUAUGACUGUCCAUCUUCAGGGAUUACUAGUUCUGAAUGUACAGGGCAGAUCAUUAGCUAUUUUCAUAUAUAUAGUAUAGAAUAAUAGAUAUACAUUAUGGAGCAUGAGAAUGUAUAAAUUGAAAUGUAGCACUGUCCUCAUUUUCAAUUGUUAACCAGAUUCAUGAAUGGAUAUCAUAUAUAACAGAGGUAGGAUGUGUGACAGAUAUACUGGGGACAUGGAAUAUAUGGCAUUGAAUCAGCAUCCAAAUUUUAUUUUGGGAAGCACCCAUCUCUUCUAAGUUUGGGGGAGUCUGCAUUCCUUGCUGGACUAAUACCUGCCCCAGAACUUCGAUCACCACUCAGGGAUGCUUCUAGGGGAAAAACGUUCCAAGCCAGAGUUUUGAAGAGGAUGGUGGAAGUAGGCUUUCUUGACAUUCGAACAGCACUUUUAGUCGUGAAAUGUUUAAGGAAAAAGAGAUUCGAGAGAAAUUGUAGAGAGAAUUGUCAAUCAUAUUAUUGAGAUAUAGGGAUUACAAAGUAUAUAUUCUAAUGUUACAAGGAAUAGUAUUCCAUCUAUGAUUAGGAAUUCUAGAACCUUCUCUCCUAUUGCUACUCCUAGUUUGAUAAGGCACACUAAGUCGAUUUUCCUUCAACAUGAAACAAUUUCUUCCUCUGCAGGUUAAUGACGCAGAAGCAAAUAUUACCUUGCUGCCAGCAGGAGGUACAGAUUCUAUCUUCAAGGAUAUAUGGGACUGGGAAUCAGAAAGCAGAGUAUGGGAAGCAUGUGAGGACAUGGAAAGAUGGGCUACUGAGGUUCGCCAAAGGACUUCUGCAAAGCGUUAAUAAGCCUUCUUGUUGUAAGGACUGGUGUGACUUGUAAGUUGAUUUUGCUCGUCCACAAGCUCCGUCAGAGGCCCAAUCACAGCCUCAUGUGGUGGCGCAAUGAACACAGCCCAUGACAUGCGCAACCGUUCCUUGUUCACCAAGCUCCUGUGAAGAACACUCUUGUACUUACCAUUGCUC